Physeter macrocephalus (sperm whale) is the source of this 131-nucleotide small nucleolar RNA. Ensembl annotates it as small nucleolar RNA, H/ACA box 56. Lineage: Eukaryota; Metazoa; Chordata; Mammalia; Artiodactyla; Physeteridae. The record is from Ensembl.
CGACAGACAGUUAACCCUUUCUAGUCUGGCUCGUGGCACUCCAGCCGGAGUCAGUCUGCGACAGCAAGUGGUGAGCUGUUCUGUCCGGCGUCAGGAUGUUGAUGGUGGCCUUAGAGACUUGCCAGAUCUGC